This 213-nucleotide long non-coding RNA is filed under the name Carica papaya (papaya). RNAcentral describes it as "long non-coding RNA (CPAP_LNC010920)". The record is from RNAcentral. Lineage: Eukaryota; Viridiplantae; Streptophyta; Magnoliopsida; Brassicales; Caricaceae.
AUAUCCUAUAUGUGCAUUGCAAUACAUGUGUACCCCAUGGGCACCCAUAUCCAAACUGCAUUUUGGCUUUCUUCUUGCACCGAAAAUCUUGGGUCGAGUCAUUCGUUAGCAAUGAGGCAUGUUACCCUUCAAAUUUCUAGCACCUUCUAGUGUCAUUUCUUCCUAGGUUGGAAUUCCUAUUUGGUGGAUUCAGUCUUGCUAUUUGAUACUUAA